UACGUAGGGGGCAAGCGUUGUCCGGAUUUAUUGGGCGUAAAGAGCGUGUAGGCGGCUGGGUAGGUCCGUUGUGAAAACUCGAGGCUCAACCUCGAGACGCCGAUGGAAACCCUCCAGCUAGAGUCCGGAAGAGGAGAGUGGAAUUCCUGGUGUAGCGGUGAAAUGCGCAGAUAUCAGGAAGAACACCCGUGGCUAAGGCGGCUCUCUAGUACGGUACUGACGCUGAGACGCGAAAGCCAGGGGAGCAAACGGG
Molecule: ribosomal RNA, 253 nt
Filed under: uncultured bacterium
Lineage: Bacteria
Description: partial 16S ribosomal RNA
Rfam family: Bacterial small subunit ribosomal RNA
Source: RNAcentral